CCUACGGGCGGCAGCAGUGGGGAAUAUUGCACAAUGGGGGAAACCCUGAUGCAGCGACGCCGCGUGAGCGAUGAAGUAUUUCGGUAUGUAAAGCUCUAUCAGCAGGGAAGAAAAUGACGGUACCUGACUAAGAAGCCCCGGCUAACUACGUGCCAGCAGCCGCGGUAAUACGUAGGGGGCAAGCGUUAUCCGGAUUUACUGGGUGUAAAGGGAGCGUAGACGGUCCUGCAAGCCAGAUGUGAAAGCCCGGGGCUCAACCCCGGGACUGCAUUUGGAACUGUAAGGCUAGAGUGUCGGAGAGGCAGGCGGAAUUCCUAGUGUAGCGGUGAAAUGCGUAGAUAUUAGGAGGAACACCAAUAGCGUAGGCAGGUUACUGGGACGGUUCUGACACUAAGGCACGAAAGCGUAGGGAGCAAACGGGAUUAGAUACCCUUGUAGUC
This 440-nucleotide ribosomal RNA is filed under the name uncultured bacterium. RNAcentral's name for it is "partial 16S ribosomal RNA". It matches the Rfam family "Bacterial small subunit ribosomal RNA", at positions 338 to 795 of the family's 1533-position model. The record is from RNAcentral.